CCUACGGGAGACAGCAGUGGGGAAUAUUGGGCAAUGGGCGCAAGCCUGACCCAGCAACGCCGCGUGAAGGAAGAAGGCUUUCGGGUUGUAAACUUCUUUUGUCAGGGAAGAGGAGAAGACGGUACCUGACGAAUAAGCCACGGCUAACGACGUGCCAGCAGCCGCGGUAAUACGGAGGUGGCAAGCGUUGUCCGGAUUUACUGGGUGUAAAGGGCGUGUAGCCGGGUUGACAAGUCAGAUGUGAAAUCCUGCGGCUUAACCGCAGAACUGCAUUUGAAACUGUUGAUCUUGAGUACUGGAGAGGCAGCUGGAAUUCCUAGUGUAGCGGUGAAAUGCGUAGAUAUUAGGAGGAACACCAGUGGCGAAGGCGGUCUGCUGGACAGCAACUGACGGUGAGGCGCGAACGCGUGGGGAGCAUACAGGAUUAGAUACCCCUGUAGUC
Molecule: ribosomal RNA, 442 nt
Filed under: uncultured bacterium
Lineage: Bacteria
Description: partial 16S ribosomal RNA
Rfam family: Bacterial small subunit ribosomal RNA
Source: RNAcentral